This 193-nucleotide non-coding RNA is filed under the name Deltaproteobacteria bacterium CG_4_10_14_0_2_um_filter_43_8. Its description in RNAcentral is "6S RNA". It matches the Rfam family "6S / SsrS RNA". Rfam says of the family: E. coli 6S RNA was the first non coding RNA to be sequenced, but its function was unknown until recently. Lineage: Bacteria; Deltaproteobacteria. The record is from RNAcentral. RNAcentral also lists the same sequence under 2 other names.
UUCCCCCUGGGGAGUGCGUGAUUGGGACUUCAUAUUUCAGAACCGAUGUUUUACAAAUGGGUAUUUUCCCUCACUGUGGUGUGCGAGCUCUUUCUCAUUCGUGAGAAGAGAUGCCUAAAGCAGUUGAUAUCCUUACCCACCUGAACUUUCGGGUUCAGAAAUUUACCACCCACACGGCUUUUUCGGGGGGUUA